GAAAGGAGGGAGAGGAGAGAGGGAAGAGAGAGAGGAGGGAGGGGGCAGUGAGUACAAGAAUGACAUCACCUCUCCAGAAAUGUCACCAUUAUCUCAAGCCCGAGCGUUAGCCGUCCACAAGAGCCCCUGGCAGCUGCUGCUAUAGUAACCCAAUGAGACAUGCCAGCCGUGCCAUCACCGGGCCCAGUGCAAGUCCCAACACUCCCUCGGAUAAACCCAGUGCUGAUGACAGCCCACGCCUCAGAUGCCAAGUGCAACCCGAGCCACUAGACCGCUACGGUGACAGAGCAGUAACUCCGGGACCCCAGCUGGGUCUCACCUCUAUUGUAAUGCAGGCUGGGUCUAUAAUCCACCCCAGGCUGGACCUCUUCACACCUCACUGGACACUCAGACCUCCUGCUGUUUGGGCACGGUUUUAUGGACCUCAUCUAUUAC
Periophthalmus magnuspinnatus is the source of this 435-nucleotide long non-coding RNA. RefSeq lists it as uncharacterized. The record is from RefSeq and is a predicted model, not a curated record. The transcript has 3 exons. NCBI's taxonomy places the organism in Eukaryota, Metazoa, Chordata, Actinopteri, Gobiiformes, Gobiidae.